UACGUAGGGGGCAAGCGUUGUCCGGAUUUAUUGGGCGUAAAGAGCUCGUAGGCGGCUUGUCACGUCGGAUGUGAAAGCCCGGGGCUUAACCCCGGGUCUGCAUUCGAUACGGGCUAGCUAGAGUGUGGUAGGGGAGAUCGGAAUUCCUGGUGUAGCGGUGAAAUGCGCAGAUAUCAGGAGGAACACCGGUGGCGAAGGCGGAUCUCUGGGCCAUUACUGACGCUGAGGAGCGAAAGCGUGGGGAGCGAACAGG
This 253-nucleotide ribosomal RNA is filed under the name uncultured bacterium. RNAcentral's name for it is "partial 16S ribosomal RNA". It matches the Rfam family "Bacterial small subunit ribosomal RNA", at positions 524 to 776 of the family's 1533-position model. The record is from RNAcentral.